CGGGGUGAGUAAUGUCUGGGAAACUGCCUGAUGGAGGGGGAUAACUGCUGGAAACGGUAGCUAAUACCGCAUAACGUCGCAAGACCAAAGAGGGGGACCUUCGGGCCUCUUGCCAUCGGAUGUGCCCAGAUGGGAUUAGCUAGUAGGUGGGGUAACGGCUCACCUAGGCGACGAUCCCUAGCUGGUCUGAGAGGAUGGCCAGCCGCACUGGAACUGAGACACGGUCCAG
Molecule: ribosomal RNA, 229 nt
Filed under: uncultured bacterium
Lineage: Bacteria
Description: partial 16S ribosomal RNA
Rfam family: Bacterial small subunit ribosomal RNA
Source: RNAcentral